RNAcentral lists this ribosomal RNA (277 nucleotides) under uncultured prokaryote. RNAcentral describes it as "partial 16S ribosomal RNA". It matches the Rfam family "Bacterial small subunit ribosomal RNA", at positions 524 to 801 of the family's 1533-position model. The record is from RNAcentral.
UACGUAGGGGGCUAGCGUUAUCCGGAAUUACUGGGCGUAAAGGGUGCGUAGGUGGUUUCUUAAGUCAGAGGUGAAAGGCUACGGCUCAACCGUAGUAAGCCUUUGAAACUGGGAAACUUGAGUGCAGGAGAGGAGAGUGGAAUUCCUAGUGUAGCGGUGAAAUGCGUAGAUAUUAGGAGGAACUCCGAUCGCGUAGGCAGCUUACUAAACCAUAACUGACGCUCAUGCACGAAGGCGUGGGGAUCAAACAGGAUUAGAUACCCUGGUAGUCCCUGAG